GGGGCUGUAAUGGUUUCGACAGGUCUUAUGCUUGAUUUCUGUGCAGUGGAGUGAUGACCUAAUCAUCAAAACUAAAUUAAACGCUAACAACAAUAGUUACGCAUUCGCUGCCUAAGUUACGCUACGAGCGUUUGCAGCGCCCACUCCUAUCUUUCUUCAUUUGAUAGUCAGUGUGUAAAUAAAUGAAUACGGAGAGGUAAAGUCUGUGAAUCCAAUCCCGACAACUGAUACAGGCACCUGUAACGGAUGGUGAGCUUGCAGACAUGUCUGUUACAGUAAUCAAUCUGCUUGCUAAACUGUAGAAUCGGAAAUGUGGGGCAAUUCUUGGACACGGGUUCAAUUCCCGUCAGCUCCAUC
Molecule: transfer-messenger RNA, 357 nt
Filed under: uncultured Bulleidia sp.
Lineage: Bacteria; Bacillati; Bacillota; Erysipelotrichia; Erysipelotrichales; Erysipelotrichaceae
Rfam family: transfer-messenger RNA
About the family: Bacterial tmRNA, also known as 10Sa RNA or SsrA, is named for its dual tRNA and mRNA-like properties. Its role is to liberate the mRNA from a stalled ribosome.
Source: RNAcentral